Molecule: ribosomal RNA, 427 nt
Filed under: uncultured bacterium
Lineage: Bacteria
Description: bacterial SSU rRNA
Rfam family: Bacterial small subunit ribosomal RNA
Source: RNAcentral
UGGUCAAUCUUGGACAAUGGGCGCACGCCUGAUCCAGCCAUUCCGCGUGCAGGACGAAGGCCUUCGGGUUGUAAACUGCUUUUGUACGGAACGAAAAGCCCUUCUCUAAUACAGAGGUGUCAUGACGGUACCGUAAGAAUAAGCACCGGCUAACUACGUGCCAGCAGCCGCGGUAAUACGUAGGGUGCAAGCGUUAAUCGGAAUUACUGGGCGUAAAGCGUGCGCAGGCAGUUUUGUAAGACAGAGGUGAAACCCCCGGGCUCAACCUGGGAACUGCCUUUGUUACUGCAAGGCUGGAGUGAGACAGAGGUGGAUGGAAUUCCGCGUGUAGCAGUGAAAUGCGUAGAUAUGCGGAGGAACACCGAUGGCGAAGGCAAGUCCCUGGGCCUGCACUGACGCUCAUGCACGAAAGCGUGGGGAGUAAACA